RNAcentral lists this long non-coding RNA (284 nucleotides) under Elaeis guineensis (African oil palm). RNAcentral's name for it is "long non-coding RNA (EGUI_LNC001114)". Lineage: Eukaryota; Viridiplantae; Streptophyta; Magnoliopsida; Arecales; Arecaceae. The record is from RNAcentral.
AAGAUGAGGUAGAAAAAAAUUUGAUGAGAAAAUAGAAAGGGAAAGGGAGAGAAAAAUAGUAAGGAAGAGAGGAGAAAAAAUAAAAAGCAUAAGAUGCUUGUCCAAAAAUCAGAUUGUUCAUAUGUUGAACAUAAAAUCUGAUUUGUGUGUGGUGAGAUAUUUUGAAAAAAAAUUUCUAAAGAGGUCUUAGUGGAGGUUAUAAAGGUGUACAAGUAUUGGUACAAUCCGUUCUUACAUAGGACAAUCGGCAGUGCACUUGUGAAGAAGGCUGCAGCACUAUGACA